GGGGCGUGAGGGUUCCGGGCCCCCCUCCUCACCCUCUGAGAAGAGCCGGGUCUGAGAACCAGGAACCGGCUGGACGCGUUCCUUCCCUGCCUCCGGCCUCCGUCUAGUUUCACUUUCUCUUUGUUCCCCCUCCCACGAAGCUCCCUUUGAAGUGAGCGGGGCCUCGAGGGGGCGGGUCCGGCCCGCGUCCUCCCCCUCCCCACCCGGGGGCGUGCACGCGGCUCGGGCUCCUGCCGGCUCUGGGCCGCCCGCACCUGUCCGGGCCACCGGGCGGACCAGCUCGGCCGGUGUCAUCCCCCCUCGCCCCCCGCGAUGUGAAGAGGUAUCUACAGUGUGCCAGGGACGUGGGGGACCGUUGAUAUUCUAAUGGGGCUGAUGGACAAUGAACAAGACAGGGAGGAAACAGUUGUAGUAAUUCACCAUGGGAGCUAAGGAGAAAAAGGGAUCCCAAGAAGACGGUCAAGGGGGUCACGCAGAGUGUGGUCCACAGCUGAUGCCAGCAGAGCGGACUGCCUUCCCCCCAGCGCACAGCGCCCCGAAGGAGGGCUGGGCCAAGUGGCCUUCUUCUCCCAACCCGAAGGUGCCCUUAGGGCUGAGGGGCUUCCCUCGUGGACACGGCUGGGCGGUCAUCCCUGGCUGCUCUCCUGGGGCAUCCUUCCUCCACUGCAGACGCCAGCCCAGCCUCAGCAGGGGUGCCGAGGGGACCCUGGUGAGCCGACCGGCCCGCGGAA
Long non-coding RNA from Mustela lutreola (European mink), 731 nucleotides. RefSeq lists it as uncharacterized. NCBI's taxonomy places the organism in Eukaryota, Metazoa, Chordata, Mammalia, Carnivora, Mustelidae. The record is from RefSeq and is a predicted model, not a curated record. The transcript has 3 exons.